This 435-nucleotide ribosomal RNA is filed under the name uncultured bacterium. RNAcentral's name for it is "partial 16S ribosomal RNA". It matches the Rfam family "Bacterial small subunit ribosomal RNA", at positions 29 to 507 of the family's 1533-position model. The record is from RNAcentral.
AACGAACGCUGGCGGCAGGCUUAACACAUGCAAGUCGAACGCAUGCCUUCGGGCAUGAGUGGCAGACGGGUGCGUAACGCGUGGGAACCUACCCCUUGGUACGGGAUCGCUCCGGGAAACUGGAGAUAAUACCGUAUGUGUCCUGAGGGACAAAGAUUCAUCGCCAAGGGAUGGGACCGCGUCGGAUUUGCUAGUUGGUGGGGUAACGGCCUACCAAGGCGACGAUCCGUAGCUGGGCUAAGAGGAUGAUCAGCCACAUUGGGACUGAGACACGGCCCAAACUCCUACGGGAGGCAGCAGUGGGGAAUAUUGGACAAUGGGCGCAAGCCUGAUCCAGCCAUGCCGCGUGAGUGAUGAAGGCCCUAGGGUUGUAAAGCUCUUUCACCGGUGACGAUAAUGACGGUAACCGGAGAAGAAGCCCCGGCUAACUUCGUG